RNAcentral lists this ribosomal RNA (305 nucleotides) under uncultured bacterium. Its description in RNAcentral is "bacterial SSU rRNA". It matches the Rfam family "Bacterial small subunit ribosomal RNA", at positions 335 to 632 of the family's 1533-position model. The record is from RNAcentral.
ACUACCUACGGGGGGCAGCAGUGGGAAUUUUGCGCAAUGCUCGUAAGAGUGACGCAGCGACGCCGCGUGAAUGACGAAGGCCUUCGGGUCGUAAAGUUCUUUCGACAGGGAAGAAAAUGCCUAUAAGUAACUGUGUAUGUAUUGACGGUACCUGUAUAAGCAGCCCCGGCUGACUCCGUGCCAGCAGCCGCGGUAAUACGGAGGGGGCGAGCGUUGUUCGGAGUGACUGGGCGUAAAGAGCACGUAGGCGGUGUUGUAAGUCAUUAGUCAAAGACUAGAGCUCAACUUUAGUAAGGCUAGUGAUA